UACGAAGGGUGCAAGCGUUACUCGGAAUUACUGGGCGUAAAGCGUGCGUAGGUGGUUCGUUAAGUCUGCCGUGAAAGCCCCGGGCUCAACCUGGGAAUUGCAUUCGAGACUGAAUAGCUAGGGUACGGUAGAGGGAAGUGGAAUUUCCGGUGUAGCGGUGAAAUGCGUAGAUAUCGGAAGGAACAUCAGUGGCGAAAGCGACUUCCUGGACCAGUACCGACGUUCAGGCACGAAAGCGUGGGGAGCAAACAGG
Molecule: ribosomal RNA, 253 nt
Filed under: uncultured bacterium
Lineage: Bacteria
Description: partial 16S ribosomal RNA
Rfam family: Bacterial small subunit ribosomal RNA
Source: RNAcentral